Molecule: transfer RNA, 64 nt
Filed under: Gongylus gongylodes
Lineage: Eukaryota; Metazoa; Arthropoda; Insecta; Mantodea; Empusidae
Description: tRNA-Asp
Source: RNAcentral
AAGAAGUUAGUUAAAAUAUAACAUUAGUAUGUCAUACUAAAAUUAUUAAAUAUAAUACUCCUUU